This is a non-coding RNA of Canis lupus familiaris (dog), 83 nucleotides long. The record is from Rfam. Lineage: Eukaryota; Metazoa; Chordata; Mammalia; Carnivora; Canidae.
GCCUGGGUGGCUCAGUGGUUGAGCUUCUGCCUUCAGCUCAGGUCACGAGCCCAGAGUCCUGGGAUCAAGUCCCACAUCAGGCU